CAUUCAAUAUUUUAUAUUAUUUCACAUUUUUUCAUCAUUUAAACAACUCAAUCACAUUUCUUAAAUAUUCAUAAGACUCAUUAAAAGCUCUCAAAUAGGUCCCACUUGACCCCACAAUUUUUUCCACAUUUACGUAUAAGUGUAGUUUAAUUUAUUUUUUUAAUUUCUUUCAUUGCCAUUCAUUGCUAGCAAAGCAGAAAAGAACCGUGUUUCUGCAAAUGAACGUUUUAUGUUUAGGUACGUUCUUUAUGUGCCAAUUAUCGGUUCUGUCUGACACAACAACAUUGAAAAAAGUGUAGCAACUCUUGGAUGGCAGGCGAUAUU
RNAcentral lists this long non-coding RNA (324 nucleotides) under Trifolium pratense (red clover). RNAcentral describes it as "long non-coding RNA (TPRA_LNC011815)". The record is from RNAcentral. Lineage: Eukaryota; Viridiplantae; Streptophyta; Magnoliopsida; Fabales; Fabaceae.